UAGGGAAUCUUCGGCAAUGGACGAAAGUCUGACCGAGCAACGCCGCGUGAGUGAAGAAGGUUUUCGGAUCGUAAAACUCUGUUGGUAGAGAAGAACGUGUGUGAGAGUGGAAAGUUCACACAGUGACGGUAACUUACCAGAAAGGGACGGCUAACUACGUGCCAG
Molecule: ribosomal RNA, 165 nt
Filed under: uncultured bacterium
Lineage: Bacteria
Description: partial 16S rRNA
Rfam family: Bacterial small subunit ribosomal RNA
Source: RNAcentral